This is a long non-coding RNA of Balaenoptera acutorostrata (minke whale), 946 nucleotides long. RefSeq lists it as uncharacterized. The record is from RefSeq and is a predicted model, not a curated record. The transcript has 4 exons. Lineage: Eukaryota; Metazoa; Chordata; Mammalia; Artiodactyla; Balaenopteridae.
AUCGUCUGGGUCUGUUUUGGCUCUGGGGCGCUGGGUCGGGACCAGGGUGACGGGGUGAGAAAACGCGACAGGAGGCGCUGUCCCCGCGGCACAGAGGCGGGUCUGAAGUUCGGGGACGCCGCCCGGGGUGCCCCGCGCAGGCCCGGGAGAGGGUCCGACGUGCCCGCCUCCCGUCUGUCCCCGCCCAUCUCCGUCCACAGAGUCCGAUGGCGGCGCCGGCGCUGAGGGACCCGCCUCAGGGACAAAAGGCCAUUUGAAGACACGGCGAGAAGAUGGCCAUCCCAAGCCAAGGAGAGAGGCCACAGGAGAUACCAAACCUGUUGACACCUUCCUCUCAGACUUCCAGCCUCCAGAAGGUUGAGUGUCAUUAUGGGUGGAUUGGCUGAUAGUACAAGGACCUGCUGAAUAUAUUGAUAUUAACGACAAAAAUAGAGCCGCACCAUGUGACUUGCAGGAUCUUAAUUCCUUGACCCGGGAUCGUACCUGUGCCCCCUGCAGUGGCAACGUAGAGUCCUAACCCCUGGACUGCCAGGCAACUCCCAUCCUUCUCUUUUAUGAAUAUUCAUUGAAGUGUUUAGAGGCACAAUCAUAUAGCUUCUUGAAUUUUCUUUAACAUGAUUUGGAGGGAAAUUGGGUGGGUUUAUACAUGAAGUAAAUUUGGCUAUGGGUGGGUCCUGUGAAACUGUGAUGGGUUCACUUGGUUUAUUUUAUCAAUAUUAACCCUUUCUCUUUCAUAGAUGUCUGAAAUUUAAAGUUAAUAUUUAAAAUGUCAUUAUUUCCAUAAUGAACAAAUAUUGGAAAACAAAUAUUUUCCCUCUAUUUGCUAAAACUUUAUCCUUUUAGUUUUUAGGGCACCACUCUUCCUUAUAUUGCACUGCUUAGCCUUCAAAUUUCAGAGAGUAUUACAUUGAAGUCUCUUUGACUCUGUUUCUCAUCAUUUUACCCA